RNAcentral lists this ribosomal RNA (548 nucleotides) under uncultured bacterium. RNAcentral's name for it is "bacterial SSU rRNA". It matches the Rfam family "Bacterial small subunit ribosomal RNA", at positions 355 to 895 of the family's 1533-position model. The record is from RNAcentral.
UAGGGAAUCUUCGGCAAUGGGGGCAACCCUGACCGAGCAACGCCGCGUGAGUGAAGAAGGUUUUCGGAUCGUAAAGCUCUGUUGUAAGUCAAGAACGAGUGUGAGAGUGGAAAGUUCACACUGUGACGGUAGCUUACCAGAAAGGGACGGCUAACUACGUGCCAGCAGCCGCGGUAAUACGUAGGUCCCGAGCGUUGUCCGGAUUUAUUGGGCGUAAAGCGAGCGCAGGCGGUUUGAUAAGUCUGAAGUUAAAGGCUGUGGCUCAACCAUAGUUCGCUUUGGAAACUGUCAAACUUGAGUGCAGAAGGGGAGAGUGGAAUUCCAUGUGUAGCGGUGAAAUGCGUAGAUAUAUGGAGGAACACCGGUGGCGAAAGCGGCUCUCUGGUCUGUAACUGACGCUGAGGCUCGAAAGCGUGGGGAGCGAACAGGAUUAGAUACCCUGGUAGUCCACGCCGUNNCGAUGAGUGCUAGGUGUUGGAUCCUUUCCGGGAUUCAGUGCCGCAGCUAACGCAUUAAGCACUCCGCCUGGGGAGUACGACCGCNAGGUU